UAAGGUGGUGGCCUUAAAGGUCCGGUGCCAAAACACGUCUACAUUAGAGACUGAUACGUUCCCCCUUAAAUCAGCGAAAUUUUGGGAUUCCCUCCCAGUACCAAGUUGAUGAAAUUACCUUCAGUAAAAUUAGGUCUAUUCAUUUCCGAUUCCUCCACUCGUUAAACCAUUCCAGUUCUCCAACCACGUAGCCACCGUCGAUCGCAACUAAUUCUCCGGCCAACUUCACCUCCUUCGUCUUCAAUCACUCUCUCGAUCACAUUGUGUCUCCAUUUCUUCUGUUUCCUUUUCAUCUACAUUUCUGAUAUCAAAGAUGCUAACAGGUCAUGGAGGUUACUCGUUUCAGUCGAUUUGAAAGAAUCGAUCACGAACUCUCAAAAUAUUUGGGACGAUUUGGUGUAAAACACAACAGAAAGGAAACGAAAGUCGUAAGGCUUGAUUUGAGGUAUGAUUUACUUAGUAAGCACAGAUUAAAAAUCAUAGAUUAAGCUUUUUACUGCUCUGUGCUGUUGUUUGGUUGACUCCUUGUACCCAAAAUUCACCAGAAGGAUCAUUUAUUCACUAAAACCAUCGUCCGUUGAUGAUAAUUUCUGGAUUUAUAUCGAACCAGCAGUUGAGUUUUGGGUUGAUGUUUUAGAAUUUGUAACAAGGAAUUAGUUCAAAUCUGAGUUUCUGUGGAGUAGUAGUUCUUUGUUUAUUACAUAUAUAUACAUUGGUGUUGAUAGAAUUUCUUAAUACUAUAUGGUUUAUUUGUGUGUAUAUGAUCUUCGUUGUUGGUUUGAAGAAGUAAUUUUCAAGUAGCCUUCAUGUUCUAUUAUCAUACAUAUGCUAUAAUUAUCUUACUUCCUACAAAAAAAUGCAAAUUGUAAGCAUGGGUGGAUCCAACCUUUUAUCAUGCAUGGUGUGGACAGUGGACUUUCAACUUUGAUUAUCAGUGUUGUGAUGAUUUUUUAUAUUUAAUUUAGGAUAUAAAUCGUUAUAUUAGCACAAGAAAUUGCAACAAACUUUGAUUUACUUAUGUAUUAUAUAAUACACACAAUAUUUUUCAUGUUAUAUGUGUGUUUGUUUGGUAUAUUAUGCAUUUCAAAUUCCUUUUAGCUUCUGAAAACUCUGAAAAGGAGCGAAAAUGAUUGGAUUAUUCAAGAAAACGUCUUCAAUCAUCACCAAAAUUUCAUCGCGUUGUUAUUGGAAUAACUCCUUUGAUCAGCAUCUCCGGAGAUCUAUGGCUGCAUUGAACGCAUUUGAAAGAUCACAAACCGGAUUUGUGGAAGAUCCGAACAAGUGUUUUCCUGAAGAGAAGACUUUUGAUAAAGAUAUGUUCUUCGAUUCAAUGAUGGCAAAUUUUUAAAAAAAUGGUGACUUGAACUUGAACGAAUAUCCCUACAAUGACAAUGAUUCCAAAGUGGUGCUUCUUACACCACGUUUUUAUAGAGCCUUAACAAAUGGAAUAAAAAGUGGAUUAAUCGAUCAAAAUCACACCAUCGUUGGUUACCUUUAUGAGAUGGAGAAAGAAGUGGGUGAAGGGCAAUGGAUACGUGGUGAAUGCUAUUUAGCCACAACACUCAGAAAUACAAUGGUGGCAAUUUUGGAAAAUGGGUCCAGGCCCAUCAACCAUGUUGGAGAGGGUUGGUUUUCCCAAUGGCUUCGGUAUGGAGAUAUACCCAUUCUCUAAAAUCUAAAUAUAUGCCUUCAAAUUUCUAUUAAACACAUGGAUUUAUCUUUUGAUGAACACACGGACCAAAUUUAUAGUUUUCUCUUUUUAUAACAAGUGUUUGAUUUGUAAAGAAUCUUGCAUAUAUUAAUGUUGAGUGGCAAAAUUAACCUCCUCUA
Long non-coding RNA from Lactuca sativa (garden lettuce), 1830 nucleotides. RefSeq lists it as uncharacterized. The record is from RefSeq and is a predicted model, not a curated record. NCBI's taxonomy places the organism in Eukaryota, Viridiplantae, Streptophyta, Magnoliopsida, Asterales, Asteraceae.